Molecule: ribosomal RNA, 392 nt
Filed under: uncultured bacterium
Lineage: Bacteria
Description: bacterial SSU rRNA
Rfam family: Bacterial small subunit ribosomal RNA
Source: RNAcentral
GACGAACGCUGGCGGCGUGCUUAACACAUGCAAGUCGAGCGGUAAGGCCCUUUCGGGGGUACACGAGCGGCGAACGGGUGGGUAACACGUGGGUGACCUGCCCUCAGCUCUGGGAUAAGCCUGGGAAACCGGGUCUAAUACUGGAUAUGACUCCAUGACGCAUGUUGUGGGGUGGAAAGCCUUGUGCGGCUGAGGAUGGGCCCGCGGCCUAUCAGCUUGUUGGUGGGGUGAUGGCCUACCAAGGCGACGACGGGUAGCCGGCCUGAGAGGGCGACCGGCCACACUGGGACUGAGACACGGCCCAGACUCCUACGGGAGGCAGCAGUGGGGAAUCUUGCGCAAUGGGCGAAAGCCUGACGCAGCGACGCCGCGUGAGGGAUGACGGCCUGGUU